GACGAACGCUGGCGGCGUGCUUAACACACGCAAGUCGAACGGUAAGGCCCUUCGGGGUACACGAGUGGCGAACGGGUGAGUAACACGUGGGUGAUCUGCCCUGCACUUCGGGAUAAGCCUGGGAAACUGGGUCUAAUACCGGAUAGGACCACUGCCUGCAUGGGUGGUGGUGGAAAGCUUUUGCGGUGUGGGAUGGGCCCGCGGCCUAUCAGCUUGUUGGUGGGGUGAUGGCCUACCAAGGCGACGACGGGUAGCCGGCCUGAGAGGGUGACCGGCCACGCUGGGACUGAGAUACGGCCCAGACUCCUACGGGAGGCAGCAGUGGGGAAUAGUGCACAAUGGGCGCAAGCCUGAUGCAGCGACGCCGCGUGAGGGAUGACGGCCUUCGGGUUGUAAACCUCUUUCAGCACCGACGAAGCGCAAGUGACGGUAGGUGCAGAAGAAGGACCGGCCAACUACGUGCCAGCCGCCGCGGUAA
RNAcentral lists this ribosomal RNA (478 nucleotides) under uncultured bacterium. Its description in RNAcentral is "partial 16S ribosomal RNA". It matches the Rfam family "Bacterial small subunit ribosomal RNA", at positions 28 to 523 of the family's 1533-position model. The record is from RNAcentral.